AGGGCACCACCAGGAGUGGAGCCUGCGGCUUAAUUUGACUCAACACGGGAAAACUCACCCGGCCCGGACACCGUAAGGAUUGACAGAUUGAGAGCUCUUUCUUGAUUCGGUGGUUGGUGGUGCAUGGCCGUUCUUAGUUGGUGGAGCGAUUUGUCUGGUUUAUUCCGAUAACGAACGAGACUCUGGCCUACUAAAUAGUGACAGGAUUAUUACUGUCCUGGAUACUUCUUAGGGGGACAAGUGGUUUUCAGCCACACGAAAUUGAGCAAUAACAGGCCUGUGAUGCCCUUAGAUGUCCGGGGCUGCACGCGCGCUACACUGAAGGAAUCAGCGUGCUAAAACCAUUGUCGAAAGGCAUUGGUAAACCCAUUAAAAUCCUACGUGAUUGGGAUCGGGAAUUGCAAUUAUUUCCCUUGAACGAGGAAUUCCCAGUAAGUGUGGGUCAUAAGCUCGCGUUGAUUACGUCCCUGCCCUUUGUACACACCGCCCCGUCGCUGCCCAGGACUGAGCCGUUUCAGA
RNAcentral lists this ribosomal RNA (519 nucleotides) under uncultured eukaryote. RNAcentral's name for it is "SSU rRNA". It matches the Rfam family "Eukaryotic small subunit ribosomal RNA", at positions 1161 to 1703 of the family's 1831-position model. The record is from RNAcentral.